GACGAACGCUGGCGGCGUGCUUAACACAUGCAAGUCGAACGGAAAGGCCCUGCUUUUGUGGGGUGCUCGAGUGGCGAACGGGUGAGUAACACGUGAGUAACCUGCCCUUGACUUUGGGAUAACUUCAGGAAACUGGGGCUAAUACCGGAUAGGAGCUCCUGCUGCAUGGUGGGGGUUGGAAAGUUUCGGCGGUUGGGGAUGGACUCGCGGCUUAUCAGCUUGUUGGUGGGGUAGUGGCUUACCAAGGCUUUGACGGGUAGCCGGCCUGAGAGGGUGACCGGCCACAGUGGGACUGAGAUACGGCCCAGACUCCUACGGGAGGCAGCAGUGGGGAAUAUUGCACAAUGGGCGGAAGCCUGAUGCAGCAACGCCGCGCGCGGGAUGACGGCCUUCGGGUUGUAAACCGCUUUCGCCUGUGACGAAGCGUGAGUGACGGUAAUGGGUAAAGAAGCACCGGCUAACUACGUG
This 468-nucleotide ribosomal RNA is filed under the name uncultured bacterium. Its description in RNAcentral is "partial 16S ribosomal RNA". It matches the Rfam family "Bacterial small subunit ribosomal RNA", at positions 28 to 507 of the family's 1533-position model. The record is from RNAcentral.